RNAcentral lists this ribosomal RNA (300 nucleotides) under uncultured Chloracidobacterium sp. RNAcentral describes it as "bacterial SSU rRNA". It matches the Rfam family "Bacterial small subunit ribosomal RNA", at positions 115 to 412 of the family's 1533-position model. Lineage: Bacteria; Pseudomonadati; Acidobacteriota; Blastocatellia; Chloracidobacteriales; Chloracidobacteriaceae. The record is from RNAcentral.
ACGUAAGUAAUCUGCCUUCGAGUGGGGAAUACCUUCGGGAAACCGAAGCUAAUACCGCAUAAUGCAGCGGCACCGCAAGGUGACAGUUGUUAAAGGAGCAAUCCGCUUGAAGAGGAGCUUGCGGCAGAUUAGCUAGUUGGUAAGGUAACGGCUUACCAAGGCUACGAUCUGUAUCCGGUCUAAGAGGACGGUCGGACACACUGACACUGAAUAACGGGUCAGACUCCUACGGGAGGCAGCAGUCGGGAAUUUUGGGCAAUGGGCGAAAGCCUGACCCAGCAACGCCGCGUGAAGGAUGAA